This 301-nucleotide ribosomal RNA is filed under the name uncultured bacterium. RNAcentral's name for it is "partial 16S ribosomal RNA". It matches the Rfam family "Bacterial small subunit ribosomal RNA", at positions 509 to 809 of the family's 1533-position model. The record is from RNAcentral.
CAGCAGCCGCGGUAAUACGUAGGUGGCAAGCGUUGUCCGGAAUUAUUGGGCGUAAAGGGCUCGCAGGCGGUUUCUUAAGUCUGAUGUGAAAGCCCCCGGCUCAACCGGGGAGAGUCAUUGGAAACUGUGAAACUUGAGUGCAGAAGAGGAGAGUGGAAUUCCACGUGUAGCGGUGAAAUGCGUAGAGAUGUGGAGGAACACCAGUGGCGAAGGCGACUCUCUGGUCUGUAACUGACGCUGAGGAGCGAAAGCGUGGGGAGCGAACAGGAUUAGAUACCCGUGUAGUCCCUGUCUCUUAUAU